This 258-nucleotide ribosomal RNA is filed under the name uncultured Stenotrophomonas sp. Its description in RNAcentral is "partial 16S ribosomal RNA". It matches the Rfam family "Bacterial small subunit ribosomal RNA", at positions 96 to 354 of the family's 1533-position model. The record is from RNAcentral. Lineage: Bacteria; Pseudomonadati; Pseudomonadota; Gammaproteobacteria; Lysobacterales; Lysobacteraceae.
UGGCGGACGGGUGAGGAAUACAUCGGAAUCUACUCUGUCGGUGGGGGAUAACGUAGGGAAACUUACGCUAAUACCGCAUACGACCUACGGGUGAAAGCAGGGGAUCUUCGGACCUUGCGCGAUUGAAUGAGCCGAUGUCGGAUUAGCUAGUUGGCGGGGUAAAGGCCCACCAAGGCGACGAUCCGUAGCUGGUCUGAGAGGAUGAUCAGCCACACUGGAACUGAGACACGGUCCAGACUCCUACGGGAGGCAGCAGAC